RNAcentral lists this ribosomal RNA (500 nucleotides) under uncultured bacterium. Its description in RNAcentral is "partial 16S ribosomal RNA". It matches the Rfam family "Bacterial small subunit ribosomal RNA", at positions 30 to 523 of the family's 1533-position model. The record is from RNAcentral.
AUUGAACGCUGGCGGCAUGCCUUACACAUGCAAGUCGAACGGCAGCACGGGAGCAAUCCUGGUGGCGAGUGGCGAACGGGUGAGUAAAGUAUCGGAACGUGCCCAGUCGUGGGGGAUAACGUAGCGAAAGUUACGCUAAUACCGCAUACCAUCUAUGGGUGAAAGCGGGGGAUCGCAAGACCUCGCGUGAUUGGAGCGGCGGAUAUCAGAUUAGGUAGUUGGUGGGGUAAAGGCUCACCAAGCCGACGAUCUGUAGCUGGUCUGAGAGGACGACCAGCCACACUGGGACUGAGACACGGCCCAGACUCCUACGGGAGGCAGCAGUGGGGAAUUUUGGACAAUGGGCGAAAGCCUGAUCCAGCCAUGCCGCGUGCAGGAUGAAGGCCUUCGGGUUGUAAACUGCUUUUGUACGGAAUGAAAAGGUUUGGGCUAAUAAGCUGAGCUCAUGACGGUACCGUAAGAAUAAGCACCGGCUAACUACGUGCCAGCCGCCGCCGUAA